UAUGUGUGUGUGUGUGUGUGUGUACAUGUAUAUAUAUAAUAUGUCUGUGCAUGUACACACACACGCACACACAUAUA
This 77-nucleotide microRNA precursor is filed under the name Olea europaea subsp. europaea. The record is from RNAcentral. Lineage: Eukaryota; Viridiplantae; Streptophyta; Magnoliopsida; Lamiales; Oleaceae.